GCCUCCGUGGUGUAAUGGUGACACACUCGGCCCGUAUUCAAGAUGUCCCGGUUCGAAUCCCGACGCGGGCA
This 71-nucleotide transfer RNA is filed under the name Stegodyphus mimosarum. It matches the Rfam family "tRNA". Rfam says of the family: Transfer RNA (tRNA) molecules are approximately 80 nucleotides in length. Their secondary structure includes four short double-helical elements and three loops (D, anti-codon, and T loops). The record is from Rfam by way of RNAcentral. Lineage: Eukaryota; Metazoa; Arthropoda; Arachnida; Araneae; Eresidae.